Molecule: small RNA, 298 nt
Rfam family: 5' ureB small RNA
Source: Rfam
CGGCCUGGGCCUGCUGCGGCGAGAUGAAGUGGACGUGGGCGUCGAUGCCGCCCGCGGUCAGGAUGAGGUGCUCGCCGGAAAUGGCGUCCGUGCCCGGUCCGAGCGCGAGCCCCCGUGUCACCCCCGACAUCGUCGAGGGAUUGCCGGCCUUCCCGAUUCCGACGAUCAGGCCGUUCUUGAUGCCGAGAUCGGCCUUGAUGACGCCCUGGACCGCGUCGAGGAUCGUGACAUUGGUGAUGACGAGAUCCGGUGCGCCCGCCGCACUGGUCAACUCGUUGUCGUAACCCAUGCCAUCCCG